AGUCGACGGUGAAGCCCCGCUUGCGGGGUGGAUCAGUGGCGAACGGGUGAGUAACACGUGAGCAACCUGCCCCUGACUCUGGGAUAAGCGCUGGAAACGGCGUCUAAUACUGGAUACGAGACGUGAUCGCAUGGUCAACGUUUGGAAAGAUUUUUCGGUUGGGGAUGGGCUCGCGGCCUAUCAGCUUGUUGGUGAGGUAAUGGCUCACCAAGGCGUCGACGGGUAGCCGGCCUGAGAGGGUGACCGGCCACACUGGGACUGAGACACGGCCCAGACUCCUACGGGAGGCAGCAGUGGGGAAUAUUGCACAAUGGGCGCAAGCCUGAUGCAGCAACGCCGCGUGAGGGAUGACGGCCUUCGGGUUGUAAACCUCUUUUAGCAGGGAAGAAGCGAGAGUGACGGUACCUGCAGAAAAAGCACCGGCUAACUACGUGCCAGCAGCCGCGGUAAUACGUAGGGUGCAAGCGUUAUCCGGAAUUAUUGGGCGUAAAGAGCUCGUAGGCGGUUUGUCGCGUCUGCUGUGAAAUCUGGGGGCUCAACCCCCAGCCUGCAGUGGGUACGGGCAGACUAGAGUGCGGUAGGGGAGAUUGGAAUUCCUGGUGUAGCGGUGGAAUGCGCAGAUAUCAGGAGGAACACCGAUGGCGAAGGCAGAUCUCUGGGCCGUAACUGACGCUGAGGAGCGAAAGGGUGGGGAGCAAACAGGCUUAGAUACCCUGGUAGUCCACCCCGUAAACGUUGGGAACUAGUUGUGGGGUCCAUUCCACGGAUUCCGUGACGCAGCUAACGCAUUAAGUUCCCCGCCUGGGGAGUACGGCCGCAAGGCUAAAACUCAAAGGAAUUGACGGGGACCCGCACAAGCGGCGGAGCAUGCGGAUUAAUUCGAUGCAACGCGAAGAACCUUACCAAGGCUUGACAUAUACGAGAACGGGCCAGAAAUGGUCAACUCUUUGGACACUCGUAAACAGGUGGUGCAUGGUUGUCGUCAGCUCGUGUCGUGAGAUGUUGGGUUAAGUCCCGCAACGAGCGCAACCCUCGUUCUAUGUUGCCAGCACGUAAUGGUGGGAACUCAUGGGAUACUGCCGGGGUCAACUCGGAGGAAGGUGGGGAUGACGUCAAAUCAUCAUGCCCCUUAUGUCUUGGGCUUCACGCAUGCUACAAUGGCCGGUACAAUGGGCUGCAAUACCGUGAGGUGGAGCGAAUCCCAAAAAGCCGGUCCCAGUUCGGAUUGAGGUCUGCAACUCGACCUCAUGAAGUCGGAGUCGCUAGUAAUCGCAGAUCAGCAACGCUGCGGUGAAUACGUUCCCGGGUCUUGUACACACCGCCCGUCAAGUCAUGAAAGUCGGUAACACCUGAAGCCGGUGGCCUAACC
This 1369-nucleotide ribosomal RNA is filed under the name Microbacterium sp. RNAcentral's name for it is "bacterial SSU rRNA". It matches the Rfam family "Bacterial small subunit ribosomal RNA". Lineage: Bacteria; Bacillati; Actinomycetota; Actinomycetes; Micrococcales; Microbacteriaceae. The record is from RNAcentral.